Molecule: ribosomal RNA, 521 nt
Filed under: uncultured bacterium
Lineage: Bacteria
Description: bacterial SSU rRNA
Rfam family: Archaeal small subunit ribosomal RNA
Source: RNAcentral
AACCUCCGCAAUGUACGAAAGUGCGACGGGGGGAUCCCAAGUGUUAUGCUUUUUUGUAUAACUUUUCAUUAGUGUAAAAAGCUUUUAGAAUAAGAGCUGGGCAAGACCGGUGCCAGCCGCCGCGGUAACACCGGCAGCUCGAGUGGUAGCUGUUUUUAUUGGGCCUAAAGCGUUCGUAGCCGGUUUGAUAAGUCUUUGGUGAAAGCUUGUAGCUUAACUAUAAGAAUUGCUGGAGAUACUAUCAGACUUGAAGUCGGGAGAGGUUAGAGGUACUACCGGGGUAGGGGUGAAAUCCUAUAAUCCUGGGAGGACCACCUGUGGCGAAGGCGUCUAACUGGAACGAUCUUGGCGGUGAGUAACGAAAGCCAGGGGCGCGAACCGGAUUAGAUACCCGGGUAGUCCUGGCCGUAAACGAUGUGGACUUGGUGUUGGAAUGGCUUUGAGUUGUUCCGGUGCCGAAGGGAAGCUGUUAAGUCCACCGCCUGGGAAGUACGGUCGCAAGACUGAAACUUAAAGGAAUU